AAUCAUCAAAUUCUAGUUGCGGAUUUGGAAUACUCCUAUUGAUUUUGUUGAAGGAAAGGUUCAAAAACUCAAGUCUUGAAGGCAGAUUCCAAAACCAGUUGGGCAUGGUACCUGAAAUGUUGUUGUUAGAAAUUCCAUAAUGAAAAAAUUAGUUUGCCAUCGAAGCCAACUCAGAAAUUGUGGACCAAGCUUACAUGAACGCAUGUCAAUAUAAUCAAAGAUUAAAUAGAAGGAUCUAAUCAAAACUAAGAUUAAAAGAUAAAGAAUUAAAGGAUCUGGAUAGUUCUUUCAAUUUGGUAAGAUUAAACAGGUGAACUUCGAAAAUGACACCAUGUAAGUAGUUAGAGGAAACAUCCAACAGCUCAAGUUGAGACAUUUUCCUAAUGUUGACCGGAAGAGGCCCUUCAAGUUGGUUUCUUGAAAGAGAUAAUUAUCUCAAUGAUGAUAAUAUUGAAAGAUCAGGCAAUGCUCUAGUCAUUUGAUUCCUGGCCAAAACCAAAGCUUCUAGAGAAUCAUUGGCACACCUACUUAAGUUUUUGACAACCCCGAAGAUCCGCUGAGCUUGUUAUCCCUUAAGUCUAACUCUUUUAAAUUGCAAAUAUUCCCCAAUAACUUUGGUAUUCCACCUUCAAGAUUAUUUCCUCUUAAAUUAAUACGUUGGAAAGCUGCCAUGUUGUUAAAAGAGAGUGGGAUUGAACCCGAUAAGUAAUUAUUAGAGCAAUUGAGUUCAACAAACUUUUGACUUAGAUUCAGCAACAAAGGAAAUGUUAAGGUUGUAAAGUAGAUGAUGUCAGGUGAAAAACAGAUAAAGAAUUUGAAUAAUUAAAAUUGGAAAGAGAUGAAGGAUCAACCUUUAGAAAAUCACAAUGGUCAAAGUGUAAUAAUGAGAGGGAAAGAUGAAAUUGAAUAACUUGGAGCCAGUUUGUAGCUUUUGUAAAAUUGGUGGAAUUAACUUUUAGUGAUUUCAAAGAACAAAGAUGAGAAAUCCAUUCAAGGUUGUCGGAUUUCAAUUAAUGAAGUUAAAUAAGAUCAGGAUCAAGAUAAAUCAACCUAGAAGGAUUCCCAAGCUUGUGAGGAAUGAUCCCAGUGAAAGGGUUGUAUGAGAGAUCGAUAAGUGAGCUCUAAAUGUAACACCCUUAACCCGAAUUCAUCGCCAGAACAGGGUUACGGAGCAUUAUCGGAGUUUAUAAAUUAAUUAUCAGACAUCUUAUUUUAUCUAGCAUUCGUAUUAGAAACCAACCAAAAUCAUACAUAUUGUCCCUUAAACAGACCCUCGAGGCCCAAAUUACUAAUUAGAAAUAAAUAGGGACUAAGUUGAAAACUCAAAAAAAAUUCAAAAAAAUUUAAAAUUUUCAACACUGCAGGGGUUACACAGCCGUGCGGCUAGGUUGUGUGACUCACACGGUUUGGAGACACGCCUGUGUCUCAGGCCGUGUGGGAAUUUUGUUUUGUGCAAAUUUAAGAAACAUGGGACACAUGGUCGAGUCAUUUGGCCGUGUGUCACACACGAUUGUGACACUCGCCAGUGUCUCUGCCCGUGUGGACGAAAAUAGGUCAUUUUACAAGUCAUAUUUCUCACUCAAUUCUAUGUCAAUCUACAAUCAACAAUACACAUAUCAACAAGCCAUAUUUAGAUAUCCAAAACAAGCCAAAAUAAGUGAUUAAACUCAACAAAUUACAUAUAGGCCAUCAUUAAAAUAAAUACCUAUAUACAUGCCAUUAUAACUAAAAUCAAAACAUUCGAAAAUACCGAUAAAACCAAUGGAUAGUAUGAUAUAACUCCUACAAGCUUCCAACCCAAUCGAACUUCCGAUAAUUUGAAAAAUAAAGGAAAACAAAUACAUAAGCAAUGAAUGCUUAGUAAGCUCGUAUAAACUUUAAUCAUAAUAUUUUUUUUCAAAUAUGAAAUUUAUACAUAUCAAGAAUAAUUCAAAAUUGAUACCGUAAUACUAAUGAAGCUAUAUUCAUCCACUCACAAGGUGAAUAAAUCCAUAACAUCACUUAUACAUAUUAUCCUAAGCUUAGUAAGAUUUAAAUAACUUUAUCUUUUCAAAAUUUCUUUAUUUUCAUUUGCAUUUCUUUAUUUCCAAGGUGAAUAAACCAUUUUAUUUUAACUAUUUUCUUUGUCAAGAUUUCACACAAGGUAUAAAGACAAGUCUUUGGAAGUCUAAUCCCAUUCAAAUCACAAAUAUAUAUAUGAUUGAUUUCAUUCGUUAAAUUUUUCUAGAAGCUUUGAUUUUGGCCAAGAAUCGACUGACUGGAGCAUUGCCUGAUCUUUAAAUAUUAUCAUCAUUGAGAAAAUUAUCUCUUUCAUGAAACCAACUUGAGGGGCCUUUUUCAGUCAGCAUCAGGAAAAUGUCUCAACUUAUUCUCUUGGAUGUUUCCUCCAACUCUUUGCAUGGUGUCAUUUCCGAAGUUCACCUAUUUAAUCUUACCAAAUUACGAGCAUUGUCCUUAUCAUUUAAUUUUUUCUCCUUCAAUCUUAGCUCUAAUUUGAUCCCUCCAUUUCAACUUGAUUAUAUUGGCAUAGGAUCAUGCAGUCUUGGUCCACAAUUUCCAAGUUGGCUUCGAUGGCAAAAUGAUAUCUCCUGCUUUAAUAUUUCUCACUCCAAUAUUUAAGAUGCUAUCCCUGAUUGGUUUUGGAAUCUACCUUAUUCAGAACUAAAUUAUUUGAACCUUUCCUCUAAAAAAAUUAGUGGGAGUAUUCCAACCUUGCCACUAAAAUUUGAUGAAUUACCUUUAAUAUAUUUGAGUUCGAAUAUAUUUCAUGGUCCCAUACCUCUAUUUUUUUUUAAUUCGUUCAGUUUGAAUUUUUCCAACAACAUGUUCAGUGGAUCUUUGUCGUUCUUCUACAUGACGAUAAUGAAUAUUGAUUUGGAUUAUCUUGACUUCUCUCAUAAUUUGUUAUCAGGUAAGAUUCCAGAUUGUUGUAGCAAGUACAUAUUAUUAGGUGCAAUCAGUUUGGACAACAAUAAUUUUUGUGAGUAAUCCCUAAUUUUUUGGGCUCACUAUAAAAUUUGAAGUCACUCAUUGGAAAAUUGUACACAACUAGGACUUCUAGAUUUGGGAGACAACAAAUUGACUGGAAUCAUUCCACCAUGGAUAGGAGAAAGACUCGAUGGGUUGAUUGUUCUUCGUCUAAGAUCAAAUGAGUUUCAUGACAACAUACCUUCAACUCUAUGUCGCCUACUGUUUCUUCAAGUAUUGGAUCUUUCUCUCAAUAAUAUAUCAAGAGCCAUUCUUUCGUGCCUCAACAAGUUGACUGCCAUGGCAAGUGCUGCAAGUUUUGAAGCAAUGACUUAUUUAUGGGAGGGGAGUUUUGGUAUCGCCGACGAUGACAACUUUAUAUUUAGUUUCAAUGAUCAUCUGUUAGUUGUAUGGAAAGGUUUUAAAAGAGAAUAUGACAACACCCUUGGAAUGUUAAAGAGUAUUGACUUGUCAUGCAACAAAUUAAGUGGAGAAAUCCUUCGAGAAUUAGCAAGUUUUGAAAGGUUAAUUAAUCUGAAUCUUUCAGGAAACAUGUUGAGGGAAAGCAUAUUUAAGGAGAUUGGCCAAUUAAAAUCAUUGGAUUCACUCGAUUUGUCCACAAAUAAUCUAUCUGGUAAAAUAUAGGAAAGAUCUUUUCUGAGCGUUUUGGAUUUUUCGAACAACAAUUUGUUUGGAAAAAUUUCAUCAAGCAUUCAGUUGCAAAGUUUCAAUGCUACUUCAUAUUCAGGGAAUCCGAGACUGUGCGGAGAAUCAUUAUGCAAAUGUCCUGAAGAUGAGCCACCAAAGGUGCCUAAUAAUGGCAAUAUUGAAAGAAGCAAUAAAAGUGAUGAAGGAUUAUUUGAGCUUAUGUGGUUUUUUAAUGUUGUUGUCAGAAAUAUCCAUAAUGGAGAAAUUAGUUUGCCGUCGAAGCCAACUCAGAAAUUAUGGACCAAGCUUACAUGAACGCAUGUCUAUAUAAUCAAUAUGAAAUAGAGGGAUCCAAUCAGAGCUAAGAUUAAAAGACAGAAUUAAAGGAUCUGGACAGUUCUUUCAAUUUGGUAAGAUUAAACAGGUGAACUUCAGAAAUGACACCAUGUAAAGAGUUGGAGGAAACAUCCAACAGCUCAAGUUGAGACAUUUUCUCGAUGUUGACCAGAAGAGGCCCCUUAAGUUGGUUUCCUGAAAGAGAUAAUUUUCUCAAUGAUGAUAAUAUUGAAAGAUCAGGCAAUACUCUAGUCACUUGAUUCCUGGCCAAAACCAAAACUUCUAGAGAAUCCUUGGCACACCUACUUAAGUUUUUGACAACCCCGAGAGAUCCGCUGAGCUUGUUAUCCCUUAAGUCUAACUCUUUUAAAUUACAAAUAUUCCCCAGGAACUUUGGUCUUCCACCUUCAAGAUUAUUUCCUCUUAAAUUAAUACGUUGGAGAGCUGCCAUGUUGUCAAAAGAGAGUGGGAUUGAACCCAAGAAGUAAUUAUUAGAGAAAUUGAGUUCAACAAACUUUUGACUUAAAUUCAGCAACAAAGGAAAUGUUGAAGGUUGUAAAGUAGAUGAUGUCAGGUGAAAAACAGAUAAAGAAUUUGAAUAAUUAAAAUUGGAAAGAGAUGAAAGAUCAACCUCUAGAAAAUCACAAUGGUCAAAGUGUAAUACUAAGAGGAAAAGAUGAAAUUGAAUAACUUGGAGUCAGUUUGUAGCUUUUGUAAAAUUGGUGGAACCGAUUUUCAGUGAUUUCAAAGAAGAAAGAUGAGAAAUCUAUUCAAGGUUGUCGGAUUUCAAUGAAUGAAGGUAAAUAAGAUCAAGAUCAAGAUAAAACAGCUUAGAAAGAUUCCCAAGCUGAUGAGGAAUGAUCUCAGUGAGAGGGUUGUAUGAGAGAUCGAGGCAAGUGAGCUCUGAAUGUAACACCCCUAACCCGAAUCCAUCGCCGAAACAGAGUUACGGAGAAUUACCAGAGUUUAUAAAUUAAUUAUCACACAUUUCAUUUUUAUCUAGCAUUUGUAUUAGAAACCAACCAAAAUCAUACAUAUUGUCCCUUAAACGAACCAUCGAGGCCCAAAUUACUUAUUAGAAACAAAUAGGGACUAAGUUGAAAAUUCAAAAAAAAUUCAAAAAAAUUCAAAAAUAUUUAAAAUUUUCAACACUACAGGGGUUACACGACCGUGUGGUUAGGUUUAUAUCAUAUAAUAUUCAGGUCAGAAACCAAUUAAACUCAUACAUAUUAUCCUUUAUUCGAGCCCUCGAAGCCCAAAAUACGCGUUAAAAAUAAGUCGGAACUAAUUUGAAAACUUCAAGAUUUUUUCAAAAAAUAUUAAAAAUUUUCAAAACUGCAGGGUUCACACGGUCAAGAGACACGUUCGUGUCUUAGGCCGUGUAGGCAUUCAAAGUAAGGACACGGUCGUGUCUCAGCCCGUGUCUGUACCCGUGUAACUCUCUGACUUAGGUUACACGGCCAAGCCACACGCACGUGUAAAAAAUCAUGUGCCCUUUUGAAAUGACCUCGCACGCCUGUGUGCUAGCCGUGUGUCUCACACGGCCCAAACACAUGCCCGUGUGUCUGGUCGUGUGGACUCAAAAUGUACCUUAAAUAACAAGUUUACCAUUCCCUGCAAGCUUGGACACUAAGCAAUUCAAAAAUUAUUCGUUUAACCAAUUCAAAACACAACCAAACACAUUCAAAUCAUGUCAAAAUAAUCAUCCUAGGUGCCUAAUCAAUGUAUCCUCAUUGGUACCACAUUUAUAUCAUCAAAACAUAUCAUUAAAACAUCAUUCAAGUCCCAAUUAUAAACAUAUUCAAGUCCAAAUUAUAAACAUACCUAAUUCAAUCCAUUUUGCUUAAUUUAUUAACACUUAAACAUCAAUUUAACAUGCCAUAAUAAAGCUUCAAAAACAAACACAUGUUUAUAUGUAUAUAUCAAACCAAUAUUAAACUUUCCAAUUUUGUUUGUAUUUUAAUAUUGUUUCUCAAUGAAUUAUUUAAACACUCUUAUAUAAAUCUUUUUUAAUCGAAAAUGUUAAUUGGGAUCUAAAAUCAUUUGCUUUAAGAAUAGUAAUUAAGUUGAUUACCUAAUUUUCAAUCUCAGUUAACAUCAAAAUAUUUCUUUUUGGUGCAUUAACAGGAUAGCACAAACAAUUAUUAUUAAUCCAAGUUGGCAGACCCCAAUAAACAACCGAAAAAUGGAUAGCGUUUUAUAUCUCACUCUUUCAAUCCAAGUUUGUGUUGCAACUUCACCACCAUUAGUGCCAUUCUUAAUCUGAUCCACUCUCUUAACUUGUUCACCAACUAAAAAUAUUUGUCUCCAAGACCUAUUAAUCACCAAUGAACCAAGAAUCCCCCAAAAUCCUACAAGAAAUCCAGUAGUCAUCCCAAUAAAAAACCAUAGAGGCUCAAACAAUCCAUCACAUUCACUGUAUGUUUCAGUACCGCUAUUGUUAGGCAACUUUGGUGGCUCAUAUUAAGGACAUUUGUUUAAUUAUUCUGCGCACAGUCUCAAAUUUCCUAAAUAUGAAAUAGCAUUGAAUCUCUGCAACUGAGUGCUUGAAGGAAUUUUUCUGGACAAAUUGUUGUUUGACAAAUCCAAAAUGCUGAGAAAAGAUAUUUCAAACAUGUUUUCUGAGAUUUCACCAGACAAAUUAUUUGUGGAAAAAUUAAGUGAAUCCAAAGCCAAUCUCCCUAAUUUUGCUUCCUCUUAACAUGUUUCUUAAAAGAUUCAAAUUUAUCAACCUUUGAAAACUUGCUAGUUCUCGAGGUAUUUCCCCACUUAAUUUGUUGCAUGACAAGUCAAUACUCUUUAAUAAUCCAAGUGUGUUGCCAUAUUCUCAUUCAAAACCUUUUUAUUUAACUAACAAAUGCUCAUCAAAGUUCAUCAUUUUACCACCAUUAAAAUGCACGAAAUAAUUCAUCCCUAUACCAACAUUAAAAUCCAUGAAAGUUAUAUCCAUUAUAGAGAUAGCUUCCAUAGAACUUCCUAAUGGCAAGUGAAAGCGCAACAACAAAUCAAAGGGGUCAGUGAAAUGCUUCAUUUGUGAUCGUUUACAUAUGAUGAGGGAUUGUCCAAAAAGGUUUGUGUUUUCUGCCAUCGAAGGGGAUGAUCAGAUAAAGCAUCAAUGAGACUUGGUUCGAUUGUGCGUUCUGUCGAAGCCAAGAGGAUCAGAGAGAAUCAGAAGAAGUCAGUGAAGUGUUUUUUUUGUUGUGGUCCGCAUAGGAUGCGAGAUUGUCUAGAGUAAUCUAAGUUGUCCACGAGCAAUAAAAAAGUUAAAGCAGAGCUAGAGAGUGAGGCUUUAAAGCUUGAAUCAAUGAUACUCAGUUCUGCUAAAACGAAGAGGGAUUGCAAGCAGAAAUGGUUGAUGUUUGUGGAUAUCAAAAUUGUAGGUUGAAGGUCAAUGGCUUGUUGUGUUCUUUGCUUUGGUGGAACUGUUGAGAGUUGCCCUAUCUCAGUAGACAACAAUCCAUGAUGACAAUGAAUACUGUCCUAGGACCGUCCGAAUGCAUUGCUAGCUUUGAUGUAAACAUCCAUCUUGGUAAUGCCAACAGUUGUAUAAAAGAUUGUUCCACAGAACGUGUCAUCAGGACAAAAACCAAGUUCAUCGGGUUAUCAGCCAUGCCUUUUCCAACAAACUCAUUAUGCAACACCAUGGAAAUGUUCAACCUAUAGAGUUCAGCUUUGGGUCCAAUGCCACUAACCAUUAGCAAUUGAGGAGUCCCAUUUGCGCCACAUGAUAAAAUCACUUCACUCCUUCAAUUAUUAGUCAAAAAUGCCUAAUGUUGGUUCCCAUUUUCAUCUUUGAACAUCACUCUCAUUGCCUUUGGCCACUCCCUACUGAUUUAUCGAAUAAGACUUUUUGGACAGUGGCAUACACUAAAACAGUAAGCAUUUCCGGGUCAGUAGAAGCAAGAAGCUCAGCCACCGUAUGACGAUGCCCAAAUCGGUCGAAAAUGGUGCCUCCAACUUUAGUUCUAUAGAUAUGGUCGUAGGUGAAUCCAUUAUAAGGUGAGACCCCAAUAUUUAAAAGACUGUCCUUGAAGGCAUCUUGCCAUGGUGCUAGUUUAGGCUGGUGAACAAUCUGUUUCUCCAUCCAUGGAUAGGACUCGUUCACUAGCCUAGCAUCCCAUCCCACUCUCAUAAAAAAAAAAGAAAUUGAAUUUAAUCCAAUUGGUGGUGCUUGUGCCCUAGUAAAUCAUAAUCUUAGUAGGCUGUACCAAAUUAAAUGUAUAGGGCAAAUAAUGAAGUACAAAUAAAUGUCAUUGCUUUCUAUUUCGGAUUCUAUACUAGACCUUACCUAAUCAUAUCUCUGAAUCAACCAAAUUAAGGCAGAAGGACCACUCAAUAUCACAUCCAAACAUUUAAUAGGUGACACAAUAAAAGGGACAAAAAUUUAAAGAAAAAUAAGAAUAUUUAAGGAAAAAAAGAUGACUUCAUUGAAAGGAAGAUGUAAUCAUUAAUGGGUUCUUUUUAUUUUUCCAGUUUUACAAUUCAUAACAAUAACCUAAUCAAUUUUUCUUGAUAACCGAAACAUCUACAUCCUUGAUUUUAAUUAAAAAAAAAUUAAAUGGGAUCACCAACUAAUUUAAGAAUUUUGGCGAUAUGGGGGACCCUAAAUACUUAAUAAAUACUUUCUUGUGGACAAUACUUAAUGAUUUUCAGGUUUCACAUGUAUAUAAAAAAGUCAACUAUUGUUGGACCAAAUUCUCUUUUAUUUGAACUUUUUUUCUUCAACAUCAGGAUAAUUUACAGUCACUUUCAGAGAUCAUUAGGACCUUAAUGCAACCAUAUUAAGUUCAAAUGUAAAAAAACUCAAACAAGAAACUCAUAUGAAAAAAAAAAAAAAGGUUGAAAUGAAAAGAUAUCUAACUACGCCCAUUUAAUUAAAAGGAAGUAAAUUGUAGAAAAAUAAAACAAAAGGAAAAUAGGGGAUCACAGUUGACAUUAAUUUCUUCCCAAAUUUUCCAGAAACAAAAUGCAUCUUAUAUUGAAGAAGGAACAUAUGUAAAUAAAAUUAUUUUCAGAUUGUUUUUUCACCGAUAGAUUAAGAAAAACUAUAUAUACCCAAAAAACAAAACAAGAAGGAGAUGAUAUAUAUAUGCAGAAAUAGUGGAGAAAGAUGGGAAAAGAGAAAGAGAUGAGAGAAGAAGGGAAAACCUUGAAGAGAUGAGAGAGCGUUGAGCCAAAUAACCAAAGAGAUAAAGAGCUUCACUGCCCCAACAAAAGAAGCCAUUGAAAGGCCUCAGCACAACAACAGAAACUCACAGCCCAAAAUAAAAAUAAUAUUAAUAACUCCCAAAGAUAAACAAGUUCCUAUGUGGCUUUCACCGGUUGGCCUUGUUUUGUGUGUUUAUUGUUUAACACUCACUUAGAUAGUUAUAUAUAUAUCUACACACACAGAGUUGAAGCCUUCAGAGGUCAAAAGCUGAUCAAUGAUGGAUGAAUAAAAAAAAAACACCAAGAUACAGUAUGGCAGAGCAAGUACAACACAGAUUAUAUAUAUAAGGGGUAUUGCAACCAACAAGGAAUGCAGCUAUCAACAAUAUUUAAAGAUCACUGAUUAAAGGGGUAGCUGGUGUAAGUCACUACUGGUGAAAUGGAUGUCACAGUUGGAGUAGGAUAGAAACGUCUAACUAACAACAGUUAAUGCAAACAGAAGAACAAGCCAUAAGUGAAAAUGAAAAUGAAGUCUGUAAAACCCAUAUUUUGCCCGGCCUUGCAUUAAACCCAAAUAAAACAGGCCCAAAAAGUUUUACAAUGGCCUAAUACUGAAUGAAAUGAACCAAAGCCAGUAGGCCCAGGUUUUUGGAGUUUUCAGAACCCAUUCCCUUACCCCCUUGCGCUGCUGCUGCCUUCGAGCCAGCCUCUACGCGCGCCAUUACUUCAGCCCACGCUUCCACCUUCCAUAUUUCACGUUCACACGCCCAUGAACGCACUCUUCACGUCUCCACGUACCUGCAAAAUGGAGAAUAGCAAGGAACCGUUUGUAUAGGCUAUAAAGCCUUCGAUUUUUUUUAAUUGUAAGGGGGGUGGUUUUUCUUUUCUUUUUCAUUUUUCUCAAAGAGAUAGAACACAAGUUGUAUACAAAAUACAUUAAAAAAAUCAAUAAAAAGCAACCAAGAGAUAUUCAAAGGUGGUGAUUGCUGUUUGAUUUCGUUUUUCUUUUUUUCUAUUUUCAUCAAAUAUACUAAGAUAUAAGAGAAAGGAGGAGACUUACCGGAGUUGCAUCACGCUCACGACAGCUGAUGGCUCGACUCCGUUUUCCAUAGUCGGAUUUUGAGGCGGUUAAAGCUUGGCCAUUCGUCUGGGGGGUGAGUAGUGGGAGUAAUAAAGUUUUUUUUUAAGAAACAGAAGUUAAAAGUGUUUUCUUUAGCAAAAGAUUGGCUUUAAAACAAACUUUUUCUUUUAAUAAUAAAAUAAAUGCUUGAGAGUGAGAAGCAGUAACAUUUGGGGGGUGGGGGAAGGCGUGUUGACCCAUUUGCCAGGCU
This 10430-nucleotide long non-coding RNA is filed under the name Gossypium barbadense (sea-island cotton). RNAcentral describes it as "long non-coding RNA (GBAR_LNC007730)". The record is from RNAcentral. Lineage: Eukaryota; Viridiplantae; Streptophyta; Magnoliopsida; Malvales; Malvaceae.